GCUGACGGAGCCGGAUGUCCUUCUGUGCCAACUCCUCCUUCAGCCUCCGAAUCUCAUCCUGCUGCCUGAAGAACAUCCUGAGGAGCUGGGGGUACAGCAAGGUGCAGGGAGAGAACAGGUGAGGAGGACUUUGGAGGACCAGUGUUCUCAGACACCCACCCUACCCAGACCCACCGUGCCUGCUCACCUUCCUCAGUCUCCUGCCACCCUGGGACAGUCAGGCGGGUGUUCCCCGAAGUUAUUUCCAGGGUUCCUACUUACCCCUGAUGGGAGAAUGGUAAAGCGCAGCGGCCACGCAGGCCUGUCCGAGGGAAGCCAGUUUUCAGGAUCUCAAGUUGGCCUCUUUAUGGGUCUGAACUAAAGCC
This 365-nucleotide long non-coding RNA is filed under the name Rattus norvegicus (Norway rat). RNAcentral's name for it is "long non-coding RNA NONRATT027777". Lineage: Eukaryota; Metazoa; Chordata; Mammalia; Rodentia; Muridae. The record is from RNAcentral.